This 84-nucleotide transfer RNA is filed under the name Parcubacteria bacterium DG_72. RNAcentral describes it as "tRNA-Leu". It matches the Rfam family "tRNA". Rfam says of the family: Transfer RNA (tRNA) molecules are approximately 80 nucleotides in length. Their secondary structure includes four short double-helical elements and three loops (D, anti-codon, and T loops). The record is from RNAcentral. Lineage: Bacteria; Candidatus Parcubacteria.
GCCCAGGUGGCGGAAUCGGUUUACGCGCAACACUUAAAAUGUUGUGGAGCUUGCUCCAUGUGGGUUCGAGUCCCACCCUGGGCA